Strigops habroptila (Kakapo) is the source of this 3249-nucleotide long non-coding RNA. RefSeq lists it as uncharacterized. The transcript is spliced from 2 exons. The record is from RefSeq and is a predicted model, not a curated record. NCBI's taxonomy places the organism in Eukaryota, Metazoa, Chordata, Aves, Psittaciformes, Psittacidae.
AGACAUAUUCACUUCUUCUUGGGCACUUUGUCUUAGUCAGGGCCUAGAGUGGGGAAGGACGUAGUGGUAACGCAAUGCUCUUAACUGAACCCAGCACAACCCUCCACAUACCCGUUGUGGACGAGCACAGCAAGCAGAGGCAAAGUGUAAACUCCCCAGAGGAAGACCCUAGGCCGGGUGCAGUCUGCUGUGACACUGGCACUGGGACAUGGGCCACUGGCAGUCGGGGUCCUGGAGUCAGGUGGCAAAGAGAGCGUUAGAUUUCGGCCAGUUCCGAACCCAGCCUGUGAAAGUGUGGGAGCUGCGUUUCUAGAGACGCUGCAGUUCUGAGGUGCUGACCCCAAACUGGCUGCCAAGGUAACUCACACAUGGGUGAUGUCCUGAGAACCACACUGACAGCACUGGAGCCCUGCAGCCGCGGUGCUGGGAGCUCUGGGGCACGGCAGGUCUCAGCAGGGCUGCUCUGCAGUCCCCGCACUGGGUGAAUACGGCUUGGAGUAAAGGCAGGAGGGAAGGAACCACACUGCAGGGUGUACAGAGAACCCACACAGCCCUUCAGUGCAAAGAGCUUAAUUCCCUGGGAUUAUCCAUCCCCUCCCUUUCCCUGGAAGUGUUGGACAGUGGCCACCGUAUGUCUCUAAGCUCCACUCCAUAUGCAAAGGUUCAGUUGUCACCAUUUCUGCUUGAACACACUAUUUCUGCUUGGUGUCAAAGGCAAUUGGAGGCUUGUACCCCAAAAUGAAAGAGGCAACUAAAAUCACCACCUUUCCUUCCUUUAACAGAAAGGAGUAUGUCAGCAGGGGAGCCAAAGGAGGUUUUAUCAGGGAAAGUAAAGUUGGAAUCGGAUGGGAGCACGCAUCUCCCUGUGAAUUGGGCACCCAAGAACCUCCUCCCAGUUCAUGUGAAUGUUCCUCAUGAGCAGAACUCCAGCGCUUGUGCUUUAUAAAACAUUUUUGGCUCCUUAUUCACAGCCGGGCAGUGAAAAGCCUGUGCUGGAAAUGGUGAAUUUCCAAUUAGCAUCAAGGGCAGAGUCUGGUGCCUCCUUUUCCUCAGCCAUUCCUGUAGGGAGGCUGCUGGACAGGACCCAGAGGCAGGAGCCUGCACUGGAGCCUUCAGCUCUGGUGCUGUUCAGUGCUGUUAAGAUGCUCCGAUCCCAGCAAGUGCUUUAUCCCAGAGCCCAUCAGGAAUGCAGAACACAGAGCUCUGUCUGCCCAGCACUUGCUGACAAGACUGAUCCGUUCCUCCAUGAGGAUCUUGGUGCCUGGGAUGGAAUCUUCCUGGCUCCUUACCCCUCUGGGCAUUGCGGCACAGCAUCUCCCUGCCACAGUAAGAUGAGCACCGUUUCCUGGUGCUGCUGGAUUAGAACAAGCCAGCAGUGGUGACUUUGUGUAAAGGAGCAAGAUGAUGCUUUGGCUUGUCUUUAAACCUUCAUAAGCACUUGACAGCAACAUGACAACUAUUAACCGCUGCCUUUAUGAAGCAUAGAAUCGACCAGGUUGGAAAAGACCUUUAAGACGAUCAAGUCCCAACCACUCCCCAGCACUAACCCAUGUCCCUGAGGGCAAGUGGAGGCUGCAGGUACUUCAAACUCCAUUUUAGAGGAGGAGGAGGGCCAGUUACCAGUAAAAUCUACUUGGUGCAGCCAGUGGGGUUUCCAGAGAUGAGUUUCUGACACUGUCAUGUGCUUAGUUCACAGGUCCACUGCAUCACCCUGACUUGAUGCUCCCGGUUCCUGUUAGUGAUCCACACGUAGCCACCAUGGUCCACCCCAGUCCUGCCCGUUUCAGGUCCAGAUUCCCAACAUUGCUGAUGUAAAGGUCUUCCUAAGGCCACCCCUCCUAUUGCCCCUCUGCAGCAGGAGGGUGAAGAGUCUCUGUGCGAGGCUGCACGAGCAGGGGCUUGACCAGAAGCGCUCCCCAGUGAGACAGUAGAGGUUUCUCACAGUCUGAGUGAGGUUCUCCACUCAAACACCUGGGGCGAGGUGGUGGUGGUGGCUCUGACCUCCUCCAUGGACACACCACAUACUGAGGGGCUGCUGAUCACUGGCUUUCCUGCACCCAAGCUGGGAAUGUGUUGGAGAACCUGAGAGACCACCUCAGCUGUCCUGCACGUGCCAUAGUGCUCCCGGUCACAGCACAGUAACUUGAACAAGAGCUUGUUCUUAACGGGAAGUGUUAAACCAGGCGAGAGGACCCUGAGGUCCAGGAUCACCCCUGAGCUUAAUGUCACUUGAGGAGCAGCAGCGUGGGGUGAGAACCAUUCCUCUUUAUAGUAUCCUGAAUUCCAGAACAGGAGUUGAACCUCUCCAGCCUGUCCUCCUGUGGUCUAUGCAGUCCCAUACUGUGGGUGCUGUGAGGGAGAAGAUUUCUUCAGGCAGAGGCUGUGACCCCCUGUCCCUCUGUUCUGCUGGUUGAGGCGCAGCAGCCCCGGACACAUGCUUACGCUGGUUUUAGGUGUUCCUCAGACAGCAUCUCACAGGGAUCCCUCCUGAGCAGGGUGGUGGGAGGAGGUGGUGGUGCAGAACUCCCAGCACUGUGCUGUGGUGAGGGGCCUCCAGCCUAACGCUGCCUUUGCCUCCCCUGCAGCAGCCCUUGGCUUGCCGCUGGCUCCACCAGUGCCACCAGAGCAGGAGCCCUCUGCCUGUCUCCAGCCACUGCAGUUCAGUCUUAGGGAGCUGCCUCCACGUAGCCUGAUUCCUGCUUGGUGCCAGGACACGCUGCUGGGCCUGGCCCAGCCCCUUCCCAGAGUUAGCAGCAGCUCUAGAGCUGCCCUAAGGGUCCCAAGGAAUUGAGGGAUUUGCUGCUUGUUGUGGAUUCCUGCUGAAAGGAAUGGCGGGAUUUGUCUUGCAAACAGGUUUUCAGGCAUAUUUAGGAGAAAAUAGCCCAGAGACCCUUCUCUGCACCCGAGGGUGGAGGCUUUGGGGCUGCACCACUCUGGGCCGGCGGCAGCAGGCAGCAGCAGUACUGGCACCACACACUGAGCUGGGAGGUCCCAUUAACCCUUUGGUUUCUCUUUGCUUCAAGCGGUGGACGUGGUGCCUAGUCCUGGAGCUCGUCCUGCCUGGGGAGGGGGGUGAGGUGCUCAAGGGGGUGGGGAGGAGGUUCCCAAAUCCAGCUGCUUUGCUGGCUGGGAGGGUGGAUGGGGGGCGGGGAAAGGCCGUGGUGGUGCCCAGUGUUGGAUCUCUGUUGUCCCGUGUGGGAGGGAAUGGGAGGGCUGGUGAAUAGUGGCUAGGAUGGAGUCCUUUGCUGC